GAUGAAGAACGUAGCGAAAUGCGAUACUUGGUGUGAAUUGCAGAAUCCCGUGAACCAUCGAGUCUUUGAACGCAAGUUGCGCCCGAAGCCAUUAGGCCGAGGGCACGCCUGCCUAGGCGUCACACGUCGUUGCCCCCCCAUCUACUCCUUCGGGAUUGCGGGGGGCGGAUGAUGGCCUCCCGUGCGCCUCGUCGCGCGGUUGGCAUAAAUGCCAAGUCCUCGGCGACACACGCCACGACAAUCGGUGGUUGCGAAACCUCGGUUGCCCGUCGUGUGCGGUCGUCGCGCAUCGAGGGCUCGAAAAAAUUGCCGGGCUCCGGCUCGGCUUUCAACGCGACCCCAGGUCAGGCGGGGUUACCCGCUGAAUUUAAGCAUAUCAAUAAGCGGAGGA
This 391-nucleotide unclassified non-coding RNA is filed under the name soil metagenome. Its description in RNAcentral is "partial contains 5.8S ribosomal RNA, internal transcribed spacer 2, and large subunit ribosomal RNA". The stretch from base 1 to 122 matches the Rfam family "5.8S ribosomal RNA", at positions 35 to 154 of the family's 154-position model. The record is from RNAcentral.